RNAcentral lists this long non-coding RNA (1362 nucleotides) under Bemisia tabaci. RNAcentral describes it as "lncRNA ENSSSA1NGG002990". Lineage: Eukaryota; Metazoa; Arthropoda; Insecta; Hemiptera; Aleyrodidae. The record is from RNAcentral.
UGGGCCGUUGCUCCGAGGCGAUAGACUAGAUUCCGAUACUCGAUACCGCAACGUCGGGCAUGGUCAGCGAGGCCCUUGCAUUUUCAGCUGGAGUUGGAGGAACUUAAAUGGAGACCGAACAAAUUGGAGCAGCCGUAAUGAACGCUACGCUCCCGAUGCACCGAUAAAUCAUGCGUGAGAAAAGCAAUGCAGGAAGCUCACUUGCAAAUAUCUUCCUUGCUACGACCUAGGGCCUCCGUUCAUCGACGUUCGACCCAGUGUGGUUUUAAGCAUCCUUCAAGCUUGAUGCCCUCUACACAGUUAAAAAUGUCCGUGUUUCUGGCAACUUUGAGUUGCUUUUUUCGGUCAGAUCAGCUAGAAGGACUUUGUUAAUUGUCUAAAUUUUCAUUAAUCUACAGAAACCGUAGGUCACUCUAAAAUGAAAGGAUAGAGUAAGUCCUGCUAAACUAAUGUAUACUUGUUCCCCUUGAUGUCACCUAGAGGUCGACACCUGUGCGUGCGUCUGUGUAGUGUGCGCGAUGGAAAUUCGAUCCUGGCGUUUCGUGCCGGUUUUCCAACGAGGCUGCAACUUUUCAACCAAAAGAUUUUCUCAAUGUAACCAAAAGGAAAAUGUUAACCGCAAGUCUGGAUUACUUUGUGUUAAAACUUUCCUUACUAAGACGAAGUGUUGGUUGCUUUUUCAUGCUGUGUAGAUGGGGCUGCCGCAGUGCCGCAUAGACUGUACUCCGAUUCAUAUAGCCGCCUUUUUUUCUCUCAGUUAAAAGAGGUACUCUGUCGUGCUAUUACAGGAGGCCGUAUGAACAUUAGGAUAUUGUCAAAUUUUCCCCAAUAAAUGCUCAUUUUUCAAGGAAAGUUGAGAAUAUUUGAAAAUGCAUGGAUGCAAGAUUAUAUGGCAAAGAAAGUUCUCUGAGAAUGUUAACAAAAAAAGACAGUAAGUUUCCUCGAAAAUCAGUGUUCUACUCGGAGAAAUUUUUCAAGAUCUGGGUGGUCAUACAGCGAAUUUUCUCAGAAACUAUUACCGAUAUUCCUCACUUACAUCACCGGUAUGCUACUGAUACUGGUAUUCUACUGAUUUAUCAAAUAUGCUGCAGUUUUCCUUAGCAGUUUGUCAAACUGUGACAUUUCAUCACACCGGUUUUCGCUGAGUAAAAAAAGUGUGUAACUCCUUCCAAAGUUUCGACUCCUGUUUUAUUAUUUCAAGGAGAACAAGUCAACUUUAUCCCAAGAAAUUUAUUCAGAACAUCCCGCUUGCAGAAAAUUAAAAUCAAGGCAGUUUCUACCUACGAUUAUUCUCCCCGCAGAUAAAUAUUUUGAUAUUGACAUUGAGAUAAUUUGCAAAAAUUAGAAUUCAACACCGCUCCU